This is a long non-coding RNA of Pseudophryne corroboree (corroboree frog), 346 nucleotides long. RefSeq lists it as uncharacterized. The transcript has 3 exons. The record is from RefSeq and is a predicted model, not a curated record. Lineage: Eukaryota; Metazoa; Chordata; Amphibia; Anura; Myobatrachidae.
ACGAAACCGGUAGGGGCGUGGCUCAUGGAUGGACGCUGAACAAGGCAACAUGCAGUGGUGAAUCCAUCUUGUAUCUUUGAUUUUAAAACGAAUGUAUCAGCGGUGAUUAUACCGCCAUCUUUGAAUGGUACUGAAGAGCCCAAUGCAGACAGUCAUCACAAACCUUGGGAACGCUUCAAGAAUCCUUUUGUGAUCAACAAUGAUUUAACAGUACACGCAUGCCAGGUUACCAUGACAAUGACGCCAGGAGGUGUGCAUCCAUGACAUCAUCGGGACCUGAUGGCGUGUGCGGACUGUUGGGUGGCGGUUUCAGCGUGGUCGUUUUCUGCCUCAUUUCUCCUUUAUU